UACGGAGGGGGCUAGCGUUGUUCGGAAUUACUGGGCGUAAAGCGCACGUAGGCGGACCUGCAAGUCGGGGGUGAAAUCCCGGAGCUCAACUUCGGAACUGCCUUUGAUACUGGCAAUCUCGAGUCCGGAAGAGGUUAGUGGAAUUCCCAGUGUAGAGGUGAAAUUCGUAGAUAUUGGGAAGAACACCAGUGGCGAAGGCGGCUAACUGGUCCGGUACUGACGCUGAGGUGCGAAAGCGUGGGGAGCAAACAGG
This 253-nucleotide ribosomal RNA is filed under the name uncultured bacterium. RNAcentral's name for it is "partial 16S ribosomal RNA". It matches the Rfam family "Bacterial small subunit ribosomal RNA", at positions 524 to 776 of the family's 1533-position model. The record is from RNAcentral.